GACGAACGCUGGCGGCGUGCUUAACACAUGCAAGUCGAACGGAAAGGCCCUGCUUUUGUGGGGUGCUCGAGUGGCGAAAGGGUGAGUAACACGUGAGUAACCUGCCCUUGACUCUGGGAUAACUUCCGGAAACUGGGGCUAAUACCGGAUAGGAGCUCCUGCUGCAUGGUGGGGGUUGGAAAGUUUCGGCGGUUGGGGAUGGACUCGCGGCUUAUCAGCUUGUUGGUGGGGUAGUGGCUUACCAAGGCUUUGACGGGUAGCCGGCCUGAGAGGGUGACCGGCCACAUUGGGACUGAGAUACGGCCCAGACUCCUACGGGAGGCAGCAGUGGGGAAUAUUGCACAAUGGGCGGAAGCCUGAUGCAGCAGCGCCGCGUGCGGGAUGACGGCCUUCGGGUUGUAAACCGCUUUCGCCUGUGACGAAGCGUGAGUGACGGUAAUGGGUAAAGAAGCACCGGCUAACUACGUG
This 468-nucleotide ribosomal RNA is filed under the name uncultured bacterium. RNAcentral's name for it is "partial 16S ribosomal RNA". It matches the Rfam family "Bacterial small subunit ribosomal RNA", at positions 28 to 507 of the family's 1533-position model. The record is from RNAcentral.